UACGAAGGGGGCUAGCGUUGCUCGGAAUCACUGGGCGUAAAGCGCGUGUAGGCGGGUCUUUAAGUCAGGGGUGAAAUGCCAAGGCUCAACCUUGGAACUGCCUUUGAUACUGGAGACCUUGAGUCCGGGAGAGGUGAGUGGAAUUGCGAGUGUAGAGGUGAAAUUCGUAGAUAUUCGCAAGAACACCAGUGGCGAAGGCGGCUCACUGGCCCGGAACUGACGCUGAGACGCGAAAGCGUGGGGAGCAAACAGG
Molecule: ribosomal RNA, 253 nt
Filed under: uncultured bacterium
Lineage: Bacteria
Description: partial 16S ribosomal RNA
Rfam family: Bacterial small subunit ribosomal RNA
Source: RNAcentral